Molecule: long non-coding RNA, 210 nt
Filed under: Elaeis guineensis (African oil palm)
Lineage: Eukaryota; Viridiplantae; Streptophyta; Magnoliopsida; Arecales; Arecaceae
Description: long non-coding RNA (EGUI_LNC007243)
Source: RNAcentral
GUGGUACUUCUCUUCCCAGUUCGGUAGGAAGGGGUUGCUGAAAGGUGCUCCAUCUUCUAUCCACAACUGGAAGAAGAGGUACUUCUACGUCCGAUGUCCGACCCUGAGGCUGGGAUUGCCCCCCUGGGGCUCCCUGAGGGACUCCGUCCGUCGGGCUUCUAGCUUGGGAAAAGACGAUCUAGAAGCCUUCCAUAAACUUGAGACUUAUCC